Long non-coding RNA from Capsicum annuum, 572 nucleotides. RefSeq lists it as uncharacterized. The record is from RefSeq and is a predicted model, not a curated record. The transcript is spliced from 4 exons. NCBI's taxonomy places the organism in Eukaryota, Viridiplantae, Streptophyta, Magnoliopsida, Solanales, Solanaceae.
CGUUACGAUUUAUCUACCAAAAAGUUUGUUCCUAUCUUUCUCCUCUCUUGGUAUAUCAAUAAGAUGAGAACUCUUCUGCUAUUCUGAGGCAGUUGUGGGAGGAACAAUUCAAGUCCCAACUCUAUGGCGAGGAAUAUUUUCGUGGAACAAAUGAUGGCAUUGAGGAGUGCUCUUCUUGAUGAAUUUUAAGCAAAUACAAGACCAGUUCAGGGCUUACAUAGAAGACCAGUGUAUGUAGCUAUGUAAGAAAGACCAAAAAUUGAUGAAUUAUUAAUCUUCAAAUUAAAUAAUGGCUUGUAAAUUUAUCAUGAGAAUCACUGUGAUGUUGUACUGUGAUGCCACAGCUUAUUUUGAGGGCUUUUUUGUUCUUGAGUUGCAAUAUCCCAUGGUUCAAUUCUAUACGUAUGCUGAGAAGAACAUGGGAGAGUUAAGAGGGUAUUUACACCAUUAGUGUUGGCAUGUGAUGUUGUGUCUACAUGAGGGGUUGUAAUAGAAAGUGGUUUUAUUCUAUAUAAGAUAGUGAAUCUAGAUAGCAAUAGUUGUUAAUCCAUCUUUUUUGUCGCGAUAUCUAC